AUUGAACGCUGGCGGCAGGCCUAACACAUGCAAGUCGAGCGGUAGCACAGAGAGCUUGCUCUCGGGUGACGAGCGGCGGACGGGUGAGUAAUGUCUGGGAAACUGCCUGAUGGAGGGGGAUAACUACUGGAAACGGUAGCUAAUACCGCAUAACGUCUUCGGACCAAAGUGGGGGACCUUCGGGCCUCACGCCAUCGGAUGUGCCCAGAUGGGAUUAGCUAGUAGGUGGGGUAAUGGCUCACCUAGGCGACGAUCCCUAGCUGGUCUGAGAGGAUGACCAGCCACACUGGAACUGAGACACGGUCCAGACUCCUACGGGAGGCAGCAGUGGGGAAUAUUGCACAAUGGGCGCAAGCCUGAUGCAGCCAUGCCGCGUGUGUGAAGAAGGCCUUCGGGUUGUAAAGCACUUUCAGCGAGGAGGAAGGCAGUCGUGUUAAUAGCACGGUUGAUUGACGUUACUCGCAGAAGAAGCACCGGCUAACUCCGUGCCAGCAGCCGCCGAGUAAAC
Molecule: ribosomal RNA, 508 nt
Filed under: uncultured bacterium
Lineage: Bacteria
Description: bacterial SSU rRNA
Rfam family: Bacterial small subunit ribosomal RNA
Source: RNAcentral